GUGGUGUUUGGAUCGUCCCUGCCGGUUGGCUCCCGUGCUGUCACCGAACGGCCGGAAGGCGAUCCGCGUCGGUCGCGCUGGGUGGUAUGGUUCCCCAGAGGCCGGUUCCUGUGCUGCCUACCCCUUCAGGGGAAGCGGGCCACCCGAUGUAAAAGCCUCCAUCCGGCGCCCGGCAACGGGCGCAGGAGGACGACGGAGCACCCCCCGCGUUCCACCGAGCCUCCGGCGGUCGCGUGGCGCGCGGGGACGUGCGAUGCUCUCGGACCCAGUGAACGCCGUGGGCGAGGACUCACGUCCCAGUCCCCGAUAGAAGCUCCUACAUAAUGAAUGACGGCCGCCCCCGUCCCCCGACCGCCCCCCGGCGGCGCGGGGGCGAGGCGCGGCGUCGUGGAGGAAUGCUACCUGGUUGAUCCUGCCAGUAGUCAUAUGCUUGUCUCAAAGAUUAAGCCAU
Molecule: unclassified non-coding RNA, 451 nt
Filed under: Acacia hyaloneura
Lineage: Eukaryota; Viridiplantae; Streptophyta; Magnoliopsida; Fabales; Fabaceae
Description: partial external transcribed spacer
Rfam family: Eukaryotic small subunit ribosomal RNA (bases 400-451)
Source: RNAcentral